RNAcentral lists this ribosomal RNA (430 nucleotides) under uncultured rumen bacterium. RNAcentral's name for it is "bacterial SSU rRNA". It matches the Rfam family "Bacterial small subunit ribosomal RNA", at positions 354 to 776 of the family's 1533-position model. The record is from RNAcentral.
GUGGGGAAUCUUCCGCAAUGGGCGAAAGCCUGACGGAGCAACGCCGCGUGAGUGAAGAAGGGUUUCGGCUCGUAAAGCUCUGUUGACGGGGACGAAUGUGCGAGAUGCGAAUAGUUUCUUGCAAUGACGGUACCCGUCGAGGAAGCCACGGCUAACUACGUGCCAGCAGCCGCGGUAAUACGUAGGUGGCGAGCGUUGUCCGGAAUUAUUGGGCGUAAAGGGAGCGCAGGCGGGAAGGCAAGUCAGUCUUAAAAGUGCGGGGCUCAACCCCGUGAUGGGAUUGAAACUGUCUUUCUUGAGUGCAGGAGAGGAAAGCGGAAUUCCUAGUGUAGCGGUGAAAUGCGUAGAUAUUAGGAGGAACACCAGUGGCGAAGGCGGCUUUCUGGACUGUAACUGACGCUGAGGCUCGAAAGCGUGGGGAGCGAACAGG